RNAcentral lists this long non-coding RNA (1367 nucleotides) under Chloebia gouldiae (Gouldian finch). RNAcentral describes it as "Erythrura gouldiae (Gouldian finch) lncRNA (ENSEGOG00005014120.1)". Lineage: Eukaryota; Metazoa; Chordata; Aves; Passeriformes; Passeridae. The record is from RNAcentral.
CCGGCUGCGCCCCGAGCCCGCGGCUGGGCCGGGCCGAACCGGCGGCGGCCGGGACCGAGCGGGGAUCUGCAUCCGGAACCGGAGAAUCCGCAUCCCGAACCGAACCGGGGAAUCCGCAUCCCGAACCGAACCGGAGAAUCCGCAUCCCGAACCGAGCGGGGAUCUGCAUCCCGAAGCGGAGAAUCUGCAUCCCGAACAGAACCGGGGAACCCGCAUCCGGAACCGCCUGCAUCCGGAACCGUCUUCAUCCCGAACCGGGGGGGAAUCCGCAUCCCGAACCGGGGAAUCUGCAUCCGGAACCGGCUGCAGCAGGUACCGAGAGGAGCCGCACCCCGAACCGGCGGCUUCCCGAACCGACUGAAUCCCGAACCGGGAGGGAUCCGCACCCGCUCCGCUGCCCCUGCAGCCCAGGCUGGUCCCGAACCGGGCAGGACCCGCAUCCCGAACCGGUAGGAAUCCGAACCCUGGGGAAGCUGCAGACGAGCCCGUAGGGACCCGGACCCUGAACCAGCCCCGCACGCCGAGCCAGCCGUGCCCAAACCGAGCGGGUCCCGCACCCCGAACCGGGCAGAACCGGCACCCCGAACCGGGCAGAACCCGCACCCCGAACCGGGCGGGUCCCGCACCCCGAACCGGGCGGGUCCCGCACCACGAACCGGGCGGGUCCCGCACCCCGACCCAGCCGUGCCAUGGCCGCGCUCCCAGCUCCGGCUGCCCCUGGGCACUGGAGGGACCAGAACCCCAAAUCUGCUGCACCCUGACCCUGCUGGGUCCAAACUGGGAGGUGCCCGUGCCCUGAAGCAGCCACGCACCCCAAACUGGCUGAUCCAGGAGAUUCCUGCACCCCAAACUGGCUGAUCCAGGAGAUUCCUGCACCCCAAACUGGCUGUGCACUGACCCUGCUGCACCCCAAACCAGCGGGGCCCUGCACCCCAAAUUGGCUGAUCCGGAGGUCACUCAUCCCAAUCUUGCUGAUCCAGAAGAUUCCUGCACCCCAAUCUUGCUGAUCCAGGAGAUUCCUGCACCCCAAAUUUUGCUGAUCCAGAGGUCUCUCACCCCAAUUUUGCUGAUCCAGAAGAUUCCUGCACCCGAAUCUCACUGAUCCAAGUGCUCCCUGCACCCCAGUUUUGCUGAUCCGGAGGUCCCUCACCCCAGUUUUGCUGAUCCAGAGGUCCCUACACCCCAAUCUUGCUGAUCCAGGAGAUUCCUGAACCCCAAAUUGGCUGAUCCGGACGUCACUCAUCCCGAUGUUGCUGAUCCAAGAGAUUCCUGCACCCCAAAUUUUGCUGAUCCAGAAGUCUGUCACCCCAAUUUUGCUGAUCCAGGAGGUUUUUGCACCCCAGUUUUGGUGAUACGGAGGUCCCUCA